RNAcentral lists this ribosomal RNA (563 nucleotides) under uncultured bacterium. Its description in RNAcentral is "bacterial SSU rRNA". It matches the Rfam family "Bacterial small subunit ribosomal RNA", at positions 338 to 916 of the family's 1533-position model. The record is from RNAcentral.
CCUACGGGAGGCAGCAGUGGGGAAUUUUCCGCAAUGGGCGAAAGCCUGACGGAGCAACGCCGCGUGAGGGAUGAAGGCCUCUGGGCUGUAAACCUCUUUUAUCAAGGAAGAAGAUCUGACGGUACUUGAUGAAUAAGCCACGGCUAAUUCCGUGCCAGCAGCCGCGGUAAUACGGGAGUGGCAAGCGUUAUCCGGAAUUAUUGGGCGUAAAGCGUCCGCAGGCGGUCUUGUAAGUCUGUCGUUAAAGCGUGGAGCUCAACUCCAUUUCGGCGGUGGAAACUACAAGACUAGAGUGUGGUAGGGGCAGAGGGAAUUCCCGGUGUAGCGGUGAAAUGCGUAGAUAUCGGGAAGAACACCAGUGGCGAAGGCGCUCUGCUGGGCCAUAACUGACGCUCAUGGACGAAAGCUAGGGGAGCGAAAGGGAUUAGAUACCCCUGUAGUCCUAGCCGUAAACGAUGAACACUAGGUGUCGGGGAAUCGACCCCCUCGGUGUCGUAGCUAACGCGUUAAGUGUUCCGCCUGGGGAGUACGCACGCAAGUGUGAAACUCAAAGGAAUUGACGG